RNAcentral lists this unclassified non-coding RNA (167 nucleotides) under soil metagenome. Its description in RNAcentral is "partial contains 5.8S ribosomal RNA, internal transcribed spacer 2, and large subunit ribosomal RNA". The record is from RNAcentral.
AACGGUCUAUACCUGCGGUACCUGCGGAAGGAUCAUUAGUGAACGCCCUCACGGGCUUAUAACUAUUCCAAACCUCUGUGAACCGUGCCCUUCGGGGCUAUUUUACAAACAUGGUGUAAUGAACGUCAUAUAUCAUAACAAAACAAAACUUUCAACAAUGGAUCUCU